This 3836-nucleotide long non-coding RNA is filed under the name Mus musculus (house mouse). RNAcentral's name for it is "long non-coding RNA chr3:58462938-58466774". The record is from RNAcentral. Lineage: Eukaryota; Metazoa; Chordata; Mammalia; Rodentia; Muridae.
UCUGUUCCCCAUUUCCACGAGGCACACUGAACUCCAGAGUCAGGAACAGAGGUGAGCCAGGUAUUGGGCUUUUAUGUGGACAUAUUUGAACAAUUUCUUACAGAAAUUCCAAUAGGUUAAGGAUCUUCAUUUAGAUUAGUUUUUUGUUGGGGUUAAAGUCUUCAAAUACCUAGACUGUCAACUAGUUGAAAUUCCAAUUUGUGAGGUAAGUCUUAUGAGAAUGUCCUCUACCUUUAAUUUUCUGUCUCAACCUAUAGACCAGGUGCUAAUACAUAAGCUUUAUGUUGGUUUAAUUUUCCAAUACAGUACUGCAUAUACAGUUGAAAACUAACUUUGCCCAAAGGAAAUUAUUUUUAGGUAGUCCUAAUAUAAAUUUAAGAUCUAUCCAACAAAACAAAAAAAAGCAUAGGGAGUUGGAGAAUUAACAUUUCGCUAUUUUAACUGUUAGAUGAAGCUAUUAAGCCUUGAUGACAUGUCCUUUAUGAUGGAUGUGUUUCAUUUCUCUUCAGUGAUUCUGUUGAAAGGUGAAAGGCCAGUCCCCAGGAUUCACAAUUGAAUUGAGGCUACACAAACCAACCAAUGACAAGAAAUGCAGUAAAGGGUGUCUUUCUCAGGGGGUUCCUGAAAUGGUGACAUUUAAUUCUUGAAGGUCCUAAGAGGAAAGGUGUGUUCUAAACACAAAAGCCUACUCAAAGCUCUGAAAGCAUACACAGGCCUAAGAAGCACAGAAUUUUGUGGGAGGGAAGCUAGAAAUAACUGCUCCAUCAGUGUUUGUAGUUUGGCAUUAUUAACAAGAAUGAUUCAUUGGAUGAUAGUGGGAGAAUCUCAAUUCAGUUCUUUGGUAGAGUGGUGGGUAAAAACUGGAGACAGUUUAGAAAAAUGCAAAAGAGUGGUGAGACAGCAUUUCCAUGGGACAAAUUGAAGUUUAUUGAAUAUUCUACUUCCAGAAUCAGUACUUUGUUCUCCCCCCCCCACCUUUAGAAAAAAAAAGCACCUCAGCCAAUAUUUUUAAGUUUAGUCAGUCUCAUACCAGGAGCCAUGCAUCUCUAGAAAAUUAAAGUCUUUGUUUCCUGUCGAAGGAAUUGCAAGAAUCUGACCGAAGAGUGGGGCAAACAGGAAUUUGGUCACUCUAGGCCUCUAUCCUCAGCCCAGUGGUAAACAAUUGAAUCUUCCUCCAGGUGACUGGCCACCAUAAUUCCAAACCUUUCCAGCCUCUUGCUUCCUGAAGAGAUAGUAUGGAUUCUGACUCCAGUUUGCAAAUACACCUUAAGAGUAGGUUUUCCUUUAACUUUACCUUUCAUUUUCUAACAUAGGUCAGGCAGCUCUUCAAUACUCUGCUAAUACAGUAACACACCUCUCCUGCCCCCUGCUUCCAGACCCCUAAUAAUUUGUGUUUCAAUUUUCUAAUACUAAUAUCCUCUGAUGUUUGUACCAAUUGGCCCACCAUUUGAUCUUCCAGAGAACAUCCCUGUCUCCUAUUUCCAUAAUAGGUUACGAAUUUCUCUUUCUCUUUUCAUGCACGUUUUUCUUAUAUAUGUGAAGAGUUACUAUACAAGAGUUCCCUUAGUGGUCUAUAUUGGUCUGACAUGUUCAAAUGGAAGAAUUGCUAAGUGAGUACUAUAGAAUGCAAAUUUAAAAGUUCACAGACCUGCACUUUUUCUUUUCUCUCUUGUUUGAAUGGAAUUUAAAAAUGAACAGUCUUUGAGGGACUGGUGAUAGUAAUGGCAAGAUAAGCUCUUACUUUGUGAUGGCACAGUCUACUUGAAAACUAAACUUGUUCAACAUGAUUAGAUAGUGAGUUAGCUCUAAUGUUUCCUUUUCUUGCCAGGGAAACUGAAUAAUUAGGCAGUUUGGAGUGUUUCCUUACUGCCUUUCAGAGAUCCAGAGUCCGUAUGUUUACAGACUAGGACCUGCCCACAGAAGCCAUAAUGUUCCUCUGAAAGAAGGAAGGAAAGGAAAUUGCUAACUUUAGAAAAAAAUGGUUGGAGAUUAAGACAAGCUAAAUGACACACUUCAGCUUUCCCAUAUUAAAAGUUAAGGUUACUUGUAGCGCCAAUUGUUUGCAUGCUUUCAUUAUUUCCAUAAAAUAACCACAAAGUGCUCUUGCCCACUGCAAUUCAAAAUGUCUUCCAGAUGAUAGUUUCUGUCAUCUUGCAAUUAGUAUAUUGAUAGAUAAACCCAAAGAAGACUGCAGACAAGGAAACCUCUCCCACACUUGGCGUAUAUAAUAAAUACUAGGCCAGUGUCUAAUUCUAGCUCACUGAAAAAAUAUGUAAAUCCCUUAAUAAGGCAGUAGUCUUCACAGAUAAAUAUGUUGAUGUUUGGGGAAAUAUUUGGGCUUUAUUUGUAUUUUUAUUUCCUAGAAAUGUUGAAAAGCAGUUUGAUUCUAUCUUAACUUAGGUGCUUAACCCUAUACUGAAUGUUUGAGGAGCGAAAGCUGUUUAGGACAUGAUCUUUGCCCCCUCUCCAACCCCAGGAUCUCAGCAUCCAAUGUGAAAGUAGAAGGUGAAGUACCAUGUUGCUUAUCCACAAUAAGUACAGUUUAUAGACCUUGCUCGUUCGGUAGAGGAAGGUUCUCUAAGUAAUAAUUUGCUGUGUUAUGUGAAAUCCUUUGCCAUUGCCAGGAAAUAACUUAAAUCGUCAGAAAGCUUUUGCAUCAAAUAAUCCUUCUGGAAAGAGGAGACCAGACAAAAGACUUCACACCUGUACUGAGCCUGGGAGGUCACCCCCAAAAGAACUAAUCUCAGAGAGAAGUUUAUACAUUUUUAAUACUCUCAGUUUGCAGAUAAUUGAUCUAAUUUAACCUAAUUUGACUAGAAUUUCCAUGUCAUGAAUUAUAUUGUCUCGUCUCAUAAGCAACAUGCAUUUUGGCUGUCCUAAUCAGCUAUUUAAUGAAUGAAGUUAAUAACUCAGGUACCUGAUGCCAAAAAUGAAUCUCCAGUAGGACUGAGAACUCUGAGAUAAAUACAAGGCUGUAUGCUAGGUAAGUGGUAAGCCUUACCGUUCAGAUCAGUGGAGAAGGAAUGGAUGGCUAAGUCAACAGGCAAUAUUGAGACUGUGUACCCUUUGAAGAAAGUAAAGUUAGCUCUCACAAAAAUUAAAAUUUCCAGCUACACUAGAAGUGAGUCUUCUACUUUGUGAAAUUCAAAACAUUGAUAAUGCAUGAAAGUGCAUAGUUUUACAAAUAAAUUGUGAAGAGAUGCUCAGCCUCAGCAAAGCAAAGUGCACAUGAAACACGCUAUCUCAGAUCCAGUUGGUGAACAUUAGACACAAGGAUUAAGAGCUGACAAAUAUGAAAAAACAGAAAUCUGAUGUCGUAAAGUUUGCAUAGCCACUUCUAAACGCAGCUGGUUAAUGUCCAGUAAAAUUGAAAUUUUAGGUGCCCUGUGACCCAAUGGACCCACUUUUUAGUAUCUCCCUAAAGAAACACAUAUUCACAAGGCAGCUUCUAAUAUAAAAUUGGAAAAAUACAAAUCUAACAAGAUAAUGGAAUAUGCUAGAUGCUAUAAAAUGGUAGGUGUCAGUGAAAAAGAAUGAAGAAGGACUGUAUGCUGACAGUAGACCUCUAGGAUGCAAUGUUAAAUUUGUUAAAAGUUUGGGGGGAAAUACAUGUAAUACACAUGAUACAUGUUUAAAAAAACAUGCCAUACACAAUACUGUAUAGUGUACUUCUGCAAAUAACUAUGUGUGUACAAUAUAAAUAGAGAGUUUGGAAGGAUACUAACCCAGCUGUUUACAGUAGUCUGGCGGUGUGUGUUAGCUUAAAGUGUAAUAUUUGAUGUCUGUGAAUUUGCACUCAUGUACUGUUUCUGUAGUAACAUUAAUAAAUUAGAAAU